This 492-nucleotide ribosomal RNA is filed under the name uncultured Sphingobacteriales bacterium. RNAcentral describes it as "bacterial SSU rRNA". It matches the Rfam family "Bacterial small subunit ribosomal RNA", at positions 888 to 1382 of the family's 1533-position model. Lineage: Bacteria; Pseudomonadati; Bacteroidota; Sphingobacteriia; Sphingobacteriales. The record is from RNAcentral.
CCCGCUCAGAAACUUAAAUGAAUUGACGGGGGCCCGCACAAGCGGUGGAGCACGUGGUUUAAUUCGAUGAUACGCGAGGAACCUUACCUGGGCUCAAAUGUAUGUUGACGUAUUCUGAAAGGGAUACUUCUUCGGACAAUAUACAAGGUGCUGCAUGGUUGUCGUCAGCUCGUGCCGUGAGGUGUCGGGUUAAGUCCCAUAACGAGCGCAACCCCUAUCAUUAGUUGCCAUCAGGUCAAGCUGGGGACUCUAAUGAAACUGCCUACGCAAGUAGUGAGGAAGGUGGGGAUGACGUCAAGUCAUCAUGGCCCUUAUGUCCUGGGCUACACACGUGCUACAAUGGCCGGUACAGAGUGAAGCGAAACCGCGAGGUGAAGCAAAACGCAGAAAGCCGGUCUCAGUACGGAUUGGAGUCUGAAACUCGACUUCAUGAAGUUGGAAUCGCUAGUAAUCGCGCAUCAGCAUGGCGCGGUGAAUACGUUCCCGGGCCUU